Molecule: long non-coding RNA, 286 nt
Organism: Humulus lupulus (European hop)
Lineage: Eukaryota; Viridiplantae; Streptophyta; Magnoliopsida; Rosales; Cannabaceae
Exons: 3
Source: RefSeq, a predicted model, not a curated record
CUUCAAUUUGCCAGCGCUGGAAAUCGAAGCUUUUCAUCUAAUGCCCCACUAAUUGAGAACUCUGAUGCUCAGAUUGUCGUUCCAGAUAGUUAUACACAGUAUAUCCCUUUGCCAAUCAGUGACCUUGAUUCUUGGUUGAAGACACCCUCCAUAUAUGUUUUUGAUUGCUCUGCAACUGGGGGAAUAUUGUGAAUGCUUUUAUUGAGCUUCAUGAUUGGGUUGCUUCUAGCUCCUCUGGAUCCACAAGGGAUUGCAUUCUACUUGGAGCUUGUGAAGGACAUGAGAC